Molecule: long non-coding RNA, 2406 nt
Organism: Lycium barbarum (goji berry)
Lineage: Eukaryota; Viridiplantae; Streptophyta; Magnoliopsida; Solanales; Solanaceae
Exons: 3
Source: RefSeq, a predicted model, not a curated record
AAAUAUCAGUGGCUGAACUUCCAAUAGAGUUGUGAUAUACAAAGAGCACAGGCUCCCUUACAAAAUAUUAGUACUGACAAAUAUUAUCAUCUUAACAUACAAAAGAGUAAAUAUAGAGCUUAGAUUAUAAGAUUAAGAUAAAUCUCUUAUAAAAUUGCACUUGAAAAAAGACCCUCAGGGUUCUUUAAUCACUGUACAUUUUUUGGGGUUGAUCAGAUCUGAAGAAACUGAAGAGUAAAGUGGUAAUAUUCACAAGUAUAUGUUUGUGGAAGAAUUGUUGGUGAAAGUGCAUUUGGAUGUGCUUGUGUUCUGGUGGUUGUGGAGAAGAUUUAAGAUUUCUAGCAUUUUUAAACACCCAAACAGACCUUAUUGUACUGUAUUAGAUAGAUCUUCAGUUUUUUUUAUUGUUGGAUAAACUAUAGAGUAGUGAGUUGAAUCUGUUAUUUUUAAAUUUAGAAAUGGAGACACUUAUUGUUGCUCGACAUAAGAAUCAUUACUAUGAUAGAACAAGGGGUGAAGUUCCGGGUCGAUUCGGGUCAUUCGGGUCGGGUUUUAAGGAGAUAAAUUGUAGGACUUUUGAGUCGGGUGUGGGUUUACUACCAACCCCAUUAAGGUCUUGUUCAACAGCAGUGACUAAAAAGACUGGUGAAGUUCCAAAAAAGUCGAAAAAAUCGACCCUUAGUAGUGUGAUUUCGAUACCAAUUAACAUAAAAAAUGGUGCUGAUUCGAUAAAGAAUGAGUCUUUGAAUGAUGAAUUUGCUUAUUCUGAACUUUGGGCUGGUCCAGCUUACUCAAACUCACCUCCACCUAGUUCAUUACCAAUCCCCAAAUUUUCCGUUAAGCCGAAAAGGACGGUUUCACUUGAAUUGCCUAGUUCACCAUCUGAUAUUGAUUUGCCAACUUUUGCUAAAUCUGCACCUGCAUCACCAACCCGGGAGCGGAGCUCGUCUCCGGGACUUGACAGUACUGACUCUGCGACACAGACUCUUCGUCGCAUUCUCAAUCUUGAAAUUAUGGAUUGAUGAAUGUUUGGUGAGGGGGUAGUGAAGAAUAAAUAAGGCAGUUAUCUAGUUUGCAAGUUAGUUGGUUUUUAGUAGAUUGUAUAUAGGUGAAUAAAUCAAUCUUUAGAUUGACUUGGUAGUAGUUGCUUAGGUUUUGUUGUGGUGGAGAGCAGCUUUGGUUCAACGGUGGAAGGUCUACAAUAGUAGUUGUUAUAGUGGGUUGGUUAAGGUUGUAAGAGAUGAGCAAUGGCAGGUUGAUCAACAUUUCCGGGUAGUCUUCCGUGCGGACGCGGUUAAAUUCAGUAGUGGUUCAACGACAUGGAGGUGUGUUCGAGGGGUGGUCAAUGGACAGAAGAAAUUAUUGCAGUAUUUGGUUUAUUGGCAGUUCUUUGCUGAGCCUGCAGGACUGGUUGCUCAAUGAUCUUUGAUGCUCUUGCAGAUCAUCACAUUAACUAUGAUGUCGAAUUCUCGUUCUUGAUUAUACUCUUCUUAAUAGGUUGUUCUUUCCUUGUUGUCUCUUCAUAAUCAGUUAGCUUUUAAGUUGGUCAAACAUAUUGUACAUAUACUAGAGCUCUGAUCAGAUUAGGUGGACAGCUUUUUUUCAGACUUUUGUUUUAUACACUGACCAAAUUCUUGGCCCUCUGACCUUGAAUUUAGGAUCCUUCCUUAUUUCUUUCCAAUUCAAUAUCAAAAACCUCUACUGUAUAGAGUAUUAAGUACCUCUUACUCCUUACAAAUCCAUUAUGCCUGAAUUGGCUGGUCAGUGUUCUUGUUGUUUGUUUUCCUUCCUAGGAUCUAACUCAUACUUUUUCCUCUUCAAAAGUUGUUUUCCCCUUCACCAUUUUCUGUUUUUUGGAAUGAAAAUUGGUAAGUGGGACGUAAAAGUUAGUUAUAUCCUUUUCUGUUCCUGCUCUUAGGUAAGUUGCCUAUUUUGAGCUUUCCUCCUAUGAAUGUAUUAGGUCUCUCCUAAGUGGUUGUUCCACUUGUUUCUCUCCUAAAAGUUCCAUUUUGCCUCUGGAGAUUGUUGAUCAUAGCUGGCUGUUGACAAGGGUCUUGUUCGGAGUUGGAAGAAGAAUGUUGAAGAGGCUGUUCUCCAUGUUUUCUAGUUGUUAGCGUUUUGUCUCGUAUCGUUGUGUCUUUAGUCGGGAUUUUCUCAUUACUUGCAAAACUGGUACUAUGCCAUGAUUAUCUAGUUAUGUUUUGAUCUUUAAUCUGUUAAGUUUACUUUUGCUGCUUUUGUAUGCUUGGUACUUUUGCCUGUGUAUGAAGUAUCAAUGUUACAAGGUUAGCCUUGUGAUAUAAACAGUGCUAGUUGCUUCUGUUAUUUUCAUUCCCAGAUUGUACCUUUUUAUGUAGUAGUGUAUUCCUAAGAUUUUUCCAAUUGAAUGAAGAAUAUUUCCUUUCA